UUUUCAAAUUUUAUUUUUAAUGUCAAAUGUGGGGAGUUAUAUUGUAUCUGGUAUCUGAAACAUUCUUCACAAUUUACAAAUGAUGACCUUCAAUAUGGUGUGUUGACACAAUUGUGACAGUCCCUCCCCCCGAGGUGCCACCUGGAAAUGGGGUACCACGGAGCCCCCCUGACCCACCAGCCUGGGCUCCCUUUACACUGUACUGCUGUGAUCAGCCUGCCAAGCCCUCUCCCAGGUUCCAGCAUACACACAGGAUGAAGCAACCCAUCAUCGCCCUUCUCAAUGAACAGAAUGGAUUCUCAUGCAUAACUGCUUCAGAUGUGACCAGCUCACAGUAGCAGCCACAUGCCUGUUUAGCAGGAUACCUGCUGAUGACCACAGUUGCAUGGAUGUCCAGAGACUGGACCAAUGGAAAACUUUGUUCCUUUUUGAUGACAUCACUGGCUUCUGUGACAG
Molecule: non-coding RNA, 456 nt
Organism: Chelonoidis abingdonii (Abingdon island giant tortoise)
Lineage: Eukaryota; Metazoa; Chordata; Testudines; Testudinidae
Source: RefSeq, a predicted model, not a curated record